RNAcentral lists this ribosomal RNA (253 nucleotides) under uncultured bacterium. RNAcentral describes it as "partial 16S ribosomal RNA". It matches the Rfam family "Bacterial small subunit ribosomal RNA", at positions 524 to 776 of the family's 1533-position model. The record is from RNAcentral.
UACGGAGGGUGCAAGCGUUAAUCGGAAUUACUGGGCGUAAAGCGCACGCAGGUGGCUGAGAAAGUCGAUUGUGAAAGCCCUGGGCUUAACCUGGGAAUUGCAGUCGAAACUACUCGGCUAGAGUAUGGGAGAGGGUAGUGGAAUUCCCGGUGUAGCGGUGAAAUGCGUAGAUAUUCGGAAGAACACCAGUGGCGAAGGCGACUCACUGGACACGUAUUGACGCUGAGGUGCGAAAGCGUGGGGAGCAAACAGG